This 508-nucleotide ribosomal RNA is filed under the name uncultured bacterium. Its description in RNAcentral is "partial 16S ribosomal RNA". It matches the Rfam family "Bacterial small subunit ribosomal RNA", at positions 29 to 523 of the family's 1533-position model. The record is from RNAcentral.
AGUGAACGCUGGCGGCGUGCUUAACACAUGCAAGUCGAACGGCAGCGGGGGAGAAGCUUGCUUUUCCUGCCGGCGCGUGGCGAACGGGUGAGUAAUACAUCGGAACGUGCCCUGUAGUGGGGGAUAACUAGUCGAAAGAUUAGCUAAUACCGCACACGACCUGAGGGUGAAAGUGGGGGACCGCAAGGCCCAAUGCUAUAGGAACGGCCGAUGUCUGAUUAGCUAGUUGGUGGGGUAAAGGCCUACCAAGGCGACGAUCAGUAGCUGGUCUGAGAGGACGAUCAGCCACACUGGGACUGAGACACGGCCCAGACUCCUACGGGAGGCAGCAGUGGGGAAUUUUGGACAAUGGGCGAAAGCCUGAUCCAGCAAUGCCGCGUGUGUGAAGAAGGCCUUCGGGUUGUAAAGCACUUUUGUCCUGAAAGAAAUGGCUCUGGUUAAUACCUGGGGUCGAUGACGGUACCGGAAGAAUAAGGACCGGCUAACUACGUGCCAGCCGCCGCGGUAA